GACGAACGCUGGCGGCGUGCUUAACACAUGCAAGUCGAGCGGUAAGGCCCUUCAGGGUACACGAGCGGCGAACGGGUGAGUAACACGUGGGUGACCUGCCUCUAGCUCUGGGAUAAGCCUGGGAAACUGGGUCUAAUACCGGAUAUGACUCCACGGCGCAUGUUGUGGGGUGGAAAGCCUUGUGUGGCUAGAGAUGGGCCCGCGGCCUAUCAGCUUGUUGGUGGGGGAUGGCCUACCAGGGCGACGACGGGUAGCCGGCCUGAGAGGGCGACCGGCCACACUGGGACUGAGACACGGCCCAGACUCCUACGGGAGGCAGCAGUGGGGAAUCUUGCGCAAUGGCGAAAGCCUGACGCAGCGACGCCGCGUGAGGGAUGACGGCCU
RNAcentral lists this ribosomal RNA (384 nucleotides) under uncultured bacterium. RNAcentral's name for it is "bacterial SSU rRNA". It matches the Rfam family "Bacterial small subunit ribosomal RNA", at positions 28 to 417 of the family's 1533-position model. The record is from RNAcentral.